CCUACGGGAGGCAGCAGUAGGGAAUAUUGCUCAAUGGGGGAAACCCUGAAGCAGCAACGCCGCGUGGAGGAUGAAGGUUUUCGGAUUGUAAACUCCUUUUGUUAGAGAAGAUAAUGACGGUAUCUAACGAAUAAGCACCGGCUAACUCCGUGCCAGCAGCCGCGGUAAUACGGAGGGUGCAAGCGUUAGUCGGAAUCACUGGGUGUAAAGAGCGCGUAGGCGGGAUAGCAAGUCAGAUGUGAAAUCCUAUGGCUUAACCAUAGAACUGCAUUUGAAACUGUUAUUCUAGAGUAUGGGAGAGGUAGGUGGAAUUCUGGGGGUAGGGGUAAAAUGCGUAGAGAUCAAGAGGAAUACUCAUUGCGAAGGCGACCUGCUAGAACAUAACUGACGCUGAUGCGCGAAAGCGUGGGGAGCAAACAGGAUUAGAUACCCGUGUAGUC
RNAcentral lists this ribosomal RNA (440 nucleotides) under uncultured bacterium. RNAcentral's name for it is "partial 16S ribosomal RNA". It matches the Rfam family "Bacterial small subunit ribosomal RNA", at positions 338 to 795 of the family's 1533-position model. The record is from RNAcentral.